GGAUGAACGCUGGCGGCGUGCCUAAUACAUGCAAGUCGAGCGAACAGACGAGGAGCUUGCUCCUCUGACGUUAGCGGCGGACGGGUGAGUAACACGUGGAUAACCUACCUAUAAGACUGGGAUAACUUCGGGAAACCGGAGCUAAUACCGGAUAAUAUAUUGAACCGCAUGGUUCAAUAGUGAAAGACGGUUUUGCUGUCACUUAUAGAUGGAUCCGCGCCGCAUUAGCUGGUUGGUAAGGUAACGGCUUACCAAGGCGACGAUGCGUAGCCGACCUGAGAGGGUGAUCGGCCACACUGGAACUGAGACACGGUCCAGACUCCUACGGGAGGCAGCAGUAGGGAAUCUUCCGCAAUGGGCGAAAGCCUGACGGAGCAACGCCGCGUGAGUGAUGAAGGUCUUCGGAUCGUAAAACUCUGUUAUUAGGGAAGAACAAAUGUGUAAGUAACUAUGCACGUCUUGACGGUACCUAAUCAGAAAGCCACGGCUAACUACGUG
This 498-nucleotide ribosomal RNA is filed under the name uncultured bacterium. RNAcentral describes it as "partial 16S ribosomal RNA". It matches the Rfam family "Bacterial small subunit ribosomal RNA", at positions 27 to 507 of the family's 1533-position model. The record is from RNAcentral.